This 498-nucleotide ribosomal RNA is filed under the name uncultured Eubacteriales bacterium. Its description in RNAcentral is "bacterial SSU rRNA". It matches the Rfam family "Bacterial small subunit ribosomal RNA", at positions 8 to 507 of the family's 1533-position model. The record is from RNAcentral. Lineage: Bacteria; Bacillati; Bacillota; Clostridia; Eubacteriales.
AGAGUUUGAUCCUGGCUCAGGAUGAACGCUGGCGGUGCGCCUAACACAUGCAAGUCGAACGAAGGAUUGUGAAGGAACUUUACGGAGGGAAAACACAAUGACUGAGUGGCGGACGGGUGAGUAACGCGUAGGGAACCUGGCCCUUACAGGGGGAUAACAGAUGGAAACAACUGCUAAUACCGCAUAAGCGCCCAGCCUCGCAUGAGGCAGAGUGAAAACUAAGGUGGUAAGGGAUGGCCCUGCGUCCGAUUAGCUAGUUGGUAUGGUAACGGCAUACCAAGGCGACGAUCGGUAGCCGGCCUGAGAGGGUGGACGGCCACAUUGGGACUGAGACACGGCCCAAACUCCUACGGGAGGCAGCAGUGGGGGAUAUUGCACAAUGGGGGAAACCCUGAUGCAGCGACACCGCGUGGGUGAAGAAGCGCUUCGGCGUGUAAAGCCCUAUCAGUGGGGAAGAAAAGGACGGUACCCAAAGAAGAAGCACCGGCUAAAUACGUG